CCUACGGGAGGCAGCAGUGGGGAAUUUUGGACAAUGGGCGAAAGCCUGAUCCAGCAAUGCCGCGUGAGUGAAGAAGGCCUUCGGGUUGUAAAGCUCUUUUGUCAGGGAAGAAACGGUGAGAGCUAAUAUCUCUUGCUAAUGACGGUACCUGAAGAAUAAGCACCGGCUAACUACGUGCCAGCAGCCGCGGUAAUACGUAGGGUGCAAGCGUUAAUCGGAAUUACUGGGCGUAAAGCGUGCGCAGGCGGUUUUGUAAGUCUGAUGUGAAAUCCCCGGGCUCAACCUGGGAAUUGCACUGGAGACUGCAAGGCUAGAAUCUGGCAGAGGGGGGUAGAAUUCCACGUGUAGCAGUGAAAUGCGUAGAUAUGUGGAGGAACACCGAUGGCGAAGGCAGCCCCCUGGGUCAAGAUUGACGCUCAUGCACGAAAGCGUGGGGAGCAAACAGGAUUAGAUACCCUGGUAGUCCACGCCCUAAACGAUGUCUACUAGUUGUCGGGUCUUAAUUGACUUGGUAACGCAGCUAACGCGUGAAGUAGACCGCCUGGGGAGUACGGUCGCAAAGAUUAAAACUCAAAGGAAUUGACGG
This 586-nucleotide ribosomal RNA is filed under the name uncultured bacterium. Its description in RNAcentral is "bacterial SSU rRNA". It matches the Rfam family "Bacterial small subunit ribosomal RNA", at positions 338 to 916 of the family's 1533-position model. The record is from RNAcentral.